Molecule: long non-coding RNA, 1351 nt
Organism: Myotis myotis
Lineage: Eukaryota; Metazoa; Chordata; Mammalia; Chiroptera; Vespertilionidae
Exons: 2
Source: RefSeq, a predicted model, not a curated record
GUGGGCUGGAACGGAAGCUGCCGGUUAAGAAGGCCUGGGCGGCCUCCACGCUGAAGGCGCCCACAGAACGGGCCGAGCACCGUCCCCGCCUCCCGCGGACACCCCCGCCCCCGCCCUGCUCUGCUCUGCGAGGCGCUUUCCCAGGGAGCUCUUAUGACGACUGGGAACUGGAGGCUCCCAGGAAGCCCCGCCCAAGCACAGGCCGGCCAGGGGGAGGCGCUACCACCACCCGAUGGAGAUGAGCCUCCCCACCGCCCACCGCCCGAGAGCCCUCAGCUGGGCGAGCGCUCCCUCCCGGCACCUCUGGGAGCCGGCGGGCAGUGACUGCCAACAGCGCAGGCCCCAGAGCGCGUGCCCGAUGCGGCCCCACAAGCUGCCUGGCCGCGCGUGUGCUCUGCGUCAGGGGCUGGCGACGCAUUAAUCCCCCUGGAGUGUCACCUCCAUUGGUCGCCACCACAACCCUAUGGAGCAGGCGCUGUGAGCGGCACCUCACGUUACAGACAAGGAGUCAGAGGCCCAGAGGAGCCUGCAGUGCCGGCUGGGGGCUCAGGGGGUGCGUGUCAGUCCAUGAUCCAGGUCACUGGAUGGAUUCCUGGACUGAGGACUCGUCCUGCGUAGGGACGUGCAGGAGGCAGCCAGUGGAGGCUUCUCUAUCCUCCCUUUCUCUCUCUGUCUCCUCUCUCACUCUCUCUCUCCAAUCAAUUUUUAAAAUAUUUUUUUAAAAAAGAGACACUAGUAGCUCCCUGGAACUCCAAAGCUAAGAAGGGGCAGAGCUGGACUCAAAGCCGACCCCUCUGUUAACGGGAGUCGCCCUCGGGCCCCGUGUGCAGCGGCCUCCGGGGGCCACCCCCUCAUGGGGGCCACCCGGCAGCGGGGAAGCCCUCCGGCCUGCCAUCUGCCUUCCUGUUGUUUGCUUUUCAGGGUGUCUGUGUCCGGCCGCCUCUGCUGACUUUCCUGCAGGGAGUAAACUGGGGAUGGCAUGUCUGGUUGGCAUGACAACAAUUCCUACAGGAACCAGAGACGACCCGUUUUCCCAGGCAGGCGGCUCACCUUGCUCUUGCUUGAAGAGGAUGCUGUACUGAAAAGAACAGGAGCCACAUUAAACCAAGGGAGCGUGGAAGGGAGGGGGAGAGACAGAGAAACACUGAUGUGAGAGACACAUCGAUGGGCUGCCUUUGCACAGGCCCCACCCGGGGCUGGGGAUGAGCCUGCAACCGAGGUACCUGCCCUUGCCCGCAGUCGAACCCAGGACCCUCCGGUCCCCAGGCUGACGCGCUUUCCACUGAGCCAAAGGGGUCGCGACCCACAGGCUGAGAACCGCUGCUAGACAAUAAAAAAGUAACCAUUCUCG